RNAcentral lists this ribosomal RNA (460 nucleotides) under uncultured bacterium. RNAcentral's name for it is "partial 16S ribosomal RNA". It matches the Rfam family "Bacterial small subunit ribosomal RNA", at positions 338 to 795 of the family's 1533-position model. The record is from RNAcentral.
CCUACGGGAGGCAGCAGUGAGGAAUAUUGGUCAAUGGACGAGAGUCUGAACCAGCCAAGUAGCGUGAAGGAUGACUGCCCUAUGGGUUGUAAACUUCUUUUAUAUGGGAAUAAAAUGUUCCCCGUGUGGGAUUUUGUAUGUACCAUAUGAAUAAGGAUCGGCUAACUCCGUGCCAGCAGCCGCGGUAAUACGGAGGAUACGAGCGUUAUCCGGAUUUAUUGGGUUUAAAGGGAGCGUAGGUGGAUUGUUAAGUCAGUUGUGAAAGUUUGCGGCGCAACCGUAAAAUUGCAGUUGAAACUGGCAGUCUUGAGUACAGUAGAGGUGGGCGGAAGUCGUGGUGUAGCGGUGAAAUGCUUAGAGAUCACGAAGAACUCCGAUUGCGAAGGCAGUUCACUGGACUGCAACUGACACUGAGGCUCGAAAGUGUGGGUAUCAAACAGGAUGAGAUACCCCAGUAGUC